GACCCCGUAGCUCAGCUGGUAGAGCAAGCGACUUUUAAUCGAGAGGUCGCGGGUUCGAAUCCCGCCGGGGUCACCA
RNAcentral lists this transfer RNA (76 nucleotides) under Ferrovibrio sp. RNAcentral describes it as "tRNA-Lys". It matches the Rfam family "tRNA". From Rfam's summary of the family: Transfer RNA (tRNA) molecules are approximately 80 nucleotides in length. Their secondary structure includes four short double-helical elements and three loops (D, anti-codon, and T loops). Further hydrogen bonds mediate the characteristic L-shaped molecular structure. tRNAs have two regions of fundamental functional importance: the anti-codon, which is responsible for specific mRNA codon recognition, and the 3' end, to which the tRNAs corresponding amino acid is attached (by aminoacyl-tRNA synthetases). tRNAs cope with the degeneracy of the genetic code in two manners: having more than one tRNA (with a specific anti-codon) for a particular amino acid; and 'wobble' base-pairing, i.e. permitting non-standard base-pairing at the 3rd anti-codon position. RNAcentral also lists the same sequence under 1 other name. The record is from RNAcentral. Lineage: Bacteria; Pseudomonadati; Pseudomonadota; Alphaproteobacteria; Rhodospirillales; Rhodospirillaceae.